Molecule: long non-coding RNA, 836 nt
Organism: Portunus trituberculatus (swimming crab)
Lineage: Eukaryota; Metazoa; Arthropoda; Malacostraca; Decapoda; Portunidae
Exons: 5
Source: RefSeq, a predicted model, not a curated record
UAAUUAAAUUUCCCGCGGCGCACCUUGCUAUCCACGCAUCCUUCACCCCACUACCUGUGCCAGCCUGACCACGUGAAUACCUUAGCCAGUCCGAAGUGGACGUGAAGGCGUUUAUUUAACGUUUAUAUAGCAAAGAAAUUAACUUAACUUUUUUCUUAAGCGAGUGAGUGUGUUUGUGGCGUCAUCUCCUGUACUGAGUAGAGGACGAGGCGGUAGAAGACUGAAGGAAGGAAGGAAGGAAGGAAGGCAGGAAGACGAGGAAGUAGCAAGUAAGAGUGAGACCCUCCAGGUGACCUAAGCACGUGACCUCCAGCACUUGCCCCUCGUGACCCCUGACCCGACACCCACCAUCGCCAUAACGCGCAGGAAGGUUUGGCCUCGAGAUCGUUAUUGGCACGGUUGUUGGCCAGCGAGUGGUAAUACAGGAACAUGCGGGAUGUGAUGUAAAAGGCAAUGAACACAUCAAUGGAAUAGUGUUCGUGAGCUGCCAAGAUGAAGAAAAUCCCAAACAUGUUCAGCACCCAGGAGAAAAUGUGCAAGUAGUACACUCUCCUUGGUGUAUCUUAUUAAGAUGCAUGAAGACUACAGAAAAAAAUUCAGCUAUGAAGACAGUUGACAUGGUUAGAAAUUUUGAAAACACUGACCUGUGUUUGUGGAAGAACAGAAUUCCAAACCAAACAGAAGCAAGUGUGAUGAUGGUUAUCUCACAUAGCUGGAAUGCCCAUGAGAUGUGAGGAACAUUGUCCAGGAAAAUGUCUGGUAGAGGUGGAUGUCUUUCCUGUCAAAUAGUAAUGAGGUUGAUUUGACAAUUUUUCAAAUAAAACAUUAGAUAUCAA